RNAcentral lists this ribosomal RNA (450 nucleotides) under uncultured bacterium. RNAcentral's name for it is "bacterial SSU rRNA". It matches the Rfam family "Bacterial small subunit ribosomal RNA", at positions 328 to 793 of the family's 1533-position model. The record is from RNAcentral.
UGUCCAGACUCCUACGGGAGGCAGCAGUGGGGGAUAUUGCACAAUGGGGGAAACCCUGAUGCAGCGACGCCGCGUGUGGGAAGACGGUCCUCUGGAUUGUAAACCACUGUCCCCAGGGACGAAAAUGACGGUACCUGGGGAGGAAGCUCCGGCUAACUACGUGCCAGCAGCCGCGGUAAUACGUAGGGGGCAAGCGUUAUCCGGAUUUACUGGGUGUAAAGGGAGCGUAGACGGCGAAGAAAGUCUGAAGUGAAAGCCCGCGGCUCAACCGCGGAAUGGCUUUGGAAACUUUUUUGCUGGAGUACCGGAGAGGUAAGCGGAAUUCCUAGUGUAGCGGUGAAAUGCGUAGAUAUUAGGAGGAACACCAGUGGCGAAGGCGGCCUACUGGACGGUGACUGACGCUGAGGCUCGAAAGCGUGGGGAGCAAACAGGAUUAGAUACCCGAGUAAG